Long non-coding RNA from Mirounga angustirostris (Northern elephant seal), 377 nucleotides. RefSeq lists it as uncharacterized. Lineage: Eukaryota; Metazoa; Chordata; Mammalia; Carnivora; Phocidae. The transcript is spliced from 3 exons. The record is from RefSeq and is a predicted model, not a curated record.
AUUUAAGAUAUCUGUUGUUACUUGAAGAGAGAAAACUGAGAACAAUAAAAUCUAAUUCUCUCACCUUUACCAAGGCACAGAAAAAAUCCAAACAGACUAGGAUAACAGCCAAAGAAUUGAAGUAAAAUCUACCAGAAUCCUUCAACUGCCUUCCUAAAACUUCAUUUACUGUUCCUGUCACAUCUUGAGCAACUUGAGUCUACAACUUCCAGAGCAGUUGCUUUACUUUUUGAAAAAUAUACAUGGACGAAAUUACAAGUAUGUUCCGCCACCAGUGAACAGAGGCUGAAGUUUCCUGUGAAGAAGGAGAAGGAAGCAAAGUGGAGGUGCCACUGAGGUGAUUUCGACAUGUUAGGUGCCAGGGGAGUGUGGGCCUG